RNAcentral lists this ribosomal RNA (650 nucleotides) under Agroathelia delphinii. RNAcentral describes it as "eukaryotic LSU rRNA". The stretch from base 220 to 373 matches the Rfam family "5.8S ribosomal RNA". Lineage: Eukaryota; Fungi; Basidiomycota; Agaricomycetes; Amylocorticiales; Amylocorticiaceae. The record is from RNAcentral.
UCAUUAUUGAAUUCAUAUAUGCAAAGGAGUUGUGCUGGUAAUAAAUAUUGCAUGUGCACACUCUGAAGCUAUAUAAUAUAUACACCUGUGAACCAACUGUAGUCUGGAAAAAUCCUGACUAUGAUUACUCUAUAUAACUCUUAUUGUAUGUUACAUAAAACGAUCUCAUAUUGAAGCUUUGUUUUUUUUUUACAAGUUUCUCUUAAUUGAAAAAUACACAACUUUCAACAGCGGAUCUCUUGGCUCUUGCAUCGAUGAAAAACGCAGCGAAAUGCGAUAAGUAAUGUGAAUUGCAAAAUCCAGUGAAUCAUCAAAUCUUUGAACCCACCUUGCGCCCUUUGGUAUUCCGAGGGGCAUGCCUGUUUGAAAGUCAUUAAAUUCUCAACCUUACAAAUUUUUGUAUUUGUCAAGGCUUGGAUGUGAGAGUUGCUAGUUAAGAAUAUCUGACUGGCUCUCUUUAAAACUAUUAUGAGGACAUAUAGAAAUGCCGGCGGAUGGUGUGAUAAUAUGUCUACCCCUAUACCAAAGGGGAUUCUAGCUUGUAUGCACUACUUAUAAAAUCAUGCGCAUAUAUCUAGCAUAUAAGUGCAUAUAUUGACUAUUUGACCUCAAAUCAGGUAGGACUACCCGCUGAACUUAAGCAUAUCAAU